This is a non-coding RNA of Dallia pectoralis (Alaska blackfish), 68 nucleotides long. The record is from the annotation of a GenBank genome assembly. NCBI's taxonomy places the organism in Eukaryota, Metazoa, Chordata, Actinopteri, Esociformes, Umbridae.
CAGUUGGUAGCUCAGUGUGUGGAUGCUUUGUGUGUAUGACGUCCUGGGUUCAAAUCCCAGCUGGUCGC